AACGAACGCUGGCGGCAUGCCUAACACAUGCAAGUCGAACGAGACCUUCGGGUCUAGUGGCGCACGGGUGCGUAACGCGUGGGAACCUGCCCUUAGGUUCGGAAUAACUCCCCGAAAGGGGUGCUAAUACCGGAUAAUGUCUUCGGACCAAAGAUUUAUCGCCUUUGGAUGUGCCCGCGUUGGAUUAGCUAGUUGGUAGGGUAAAAGCCUACCAAGGCGACGAUCCAUAGCUGGUCUGAGAGGAUGAUCAGCCACACUGGGACUGAGACACGGCCCAGACUCCUACGGGAGGCAGCAGUGGGGAAUAUUGGACAAUGGGCGAAAGCCUGAUCCAGCAAUGCCGCGUGAGUGAUGAAGGCCUUAGGGUUGUAAAGCUCUUUUACCCGGGAUGAUAAUGACAGUACCGGGAGAAUAAGCUCCGGCUAACUCC
Molecule: ribosomal RNA, 430 nt
Filed under: uncultured bacterium
Lineage: Bacteria
Description: partial 16S ribosomal RNA
Rfam family: Bacterial small subunit ribosomal RNA
Source: RNAcentral